This 232-nucleotide ribosomal RNA is filed under the name uncultured bacterium. RNAcentral describes it as "partial 16S ribosomal RNA". It matches the Rfam family "Bacterial small subunit ribosomal RNA", at positions 524 to 753 of the family's 1533-position model. The record is from RNAcentral.
UACGUGGGGCGCAAGCGUUGUCCGGAAUUAUUGGGCGUAAAGAGCUCGUAGGCGGUUUGUCGCGUCUGCUGUGAAAUCCCGAGGCUCAACCUCGGACUUGCAGUGGGUACGGGCAGACUAGAGUGUGGUAGGGGAGACUGGAAUUCCUGGUGUAGCGGUGGAAUGCGCAGAUAUCAGGAGGAACACCGAGUGGCGAAGGCAGGUCUCUGGGCCAUUACUGACACUGGAGAAG